ACACGCAUGACACACUGCAUAUCAAUAAGCGGAGGAAAAGCAUAACAUGUAUACCUACGCUUAGGAUGUUGAGGAUGUAGCACAUCAUACACGCAUGACACACUGCAUAUCAAUAAGCGGAGGAAAAGAAACUAACAAGGAUUCCCUUAGUAACGGCGAGUGAAGCGGGAAGAGCUCAAAUUUGAAAUCUUCAAGGUUCUACCUUGACGAAUUGUAGUUUAUAGAAGUGUUUUCUGUUAGUGGAGUGGCAAAAGUUCUUUGGAAUAGGACAUCAUAGAGGGUGAGAAUCCCGUAUUUGACUAUUCUUUCUAGCUUUGUGAUACACUUUCAAAGAGUCGGAUUGUUUGGGAAUGCAAUCCAAAAUGGGUGGUAAAUUUCAUCUAAAGCUAAAUACUGGCGAGAGACCGAUAGCGAACAAGUACCGUGAGGGAAAGAUGAAAAGAACUUUGAAAAGAGAGUUAAACAGUACGUGAAAUUGUCAAAAGGGAAGCGUUUGACACCAGUGUUGUUUUUCCGAAAAUCAAUUACGAAUGUUUUAUUUUUGAGGAGUUAUGACUUCAUCGGCUUGCUCCUUUCUUUAUGAAACUUUCUUAAUGCACUUUUCGGUUAACAAGUCAACAUCAAUUUCUUUUGUUGUAAAAGGGUAUGAGGAAGGUGGCUUUCUUUUCGGAGAAAGUGUUUAUAGCCCUUGGCUUCUGCAAUCGGAGAGAUUGAGGUCUGCAGCGUAGAUCCUUCGGGGUUAGAUGCAUUUGUGCUAAGUUAUAGCCUUUCAUAGACAACUUGUUGACUAUGAUCAGUCAUGUAGCUUACUCGCUUAUGUCAUUUUACCUACGCUUAGGAUGUUGAUAGUCACAGCGUGUAC
RNAcentral lists this ribosomal RNA (862 nucleotides) under uncultured Neocallimastigales. RNAcentral describes it as "partial large subunit ribosomal RNA". It matches the Rfam family "Eukaryotic large subunit ribosomal RNA", at positions 1 to 644 of the family's 3401-position model. Lineage: Eukaryota; Fungi; Neocallimastigomycota; Neocallimastigomycetes; Neocallimastigales. The record is from RNAcentral.